This 1242-nucleotide ribosomal RNA is filed under the name Fuligo gyrosa. RNAcentral describes it as "Physarum gyrosum partial 18S ribosomal RNA". The record is from RNAcentral. Lineage: Eukaryota; Evosea; Eumycetozoa; Physariida; Physaraceae.
GACCAACUAGGACGGUCAUCACAUACGAAGAGGAUUUCUGAUUCGGUACGUACGGAAGCUUAUUCUUCUCACAGAGAGAGACUUAGACGCAUGCCGAGGCGUUUGGUCAACAUUUGAUAUCGUUUGUCUAGCAGCCCCAUCGGAUUUUUGAGUCGACUACCAGAUGUUCCUAUAGGGACCAUUAAGACUCCGAUUAUGUUCUUGCAUGAGUGGACAGACCCCCGUUAAAAAAUUAGGGGCCCAGCCCCCGCGCGCCAGAAUCAGCGUUUAAAGACCCUUAUCGGCGUACGAGCCUGGUGGUAUGUUCGUCUGGCCAGUCCUUGGAAGCCCCCUUACCGGGCGGACCCACCGAAAACGCCACACGUAGACUGGAUAGUUGAUCUACCGUCGUAUUUCCUGUACGAUACCAUUGUUGCCCAUGUCUCCUAUUCCCGAGCUAGGACCUCUCACCCGGACUCUCUAACGAGUGUGAAGAUUCCUUCCGUCGUCCGCGCGUUGCAAGGGUAACCCGUUACGGGCUCCCGCAAUCCCCUGUAUACUUACAGACGGUUAACCACCUGUUAAGUUUACCCAGACAAGAUUUGUCGGAGAGCUCAUUGUUAAUCUCCUGUUCAGACCACGGUCGUGGGCGCCAUUAAGGUCGAGAUUAUCGUAUGCAAUUUCAACAACGUCAAUUUUGCGAGCAUCAGCCGCGUUCUGGAAGUCUCGGGACCCAAACGCUUGACCCAGGCAACGAGGCCAUUUCCCGUGCGGUCGUUCGUAGAGCCCCCCUGCAGCCAGUUUACACGAUCACUGACAGAGAAUCCUCAGUGUCCUGAAACCUCCGAGACGGUGGCAACAAGCCAGGAUCAUGGUAAAUGGUACUGCUUUGACCUCACUAGCUUCGUACUGCGAUUCAGUGUAUGUCGUAUCGUACCAUAUCUGAGUGACCAGGCCAAACGCUUGGGCCCAACCAUCAGCGCUUUCCCCACAAGCUCCCACUGGCUUAACGGCCCGCUCACCACUUUAUGCAACUGGGACCGUUCAGCUGGUUUCCGCUUUCGUCAGUAGUUCCCGUGUGGGCAACUAGUUCUCGCUUUCAAUUCCCAAGCUUCUGCUAGUCUAUGGCAGCAUCAGAAUUGAUAUUUACUAUGUCUGGUCCCUAUCCUGUGACAGGUAGAGCUGAAGAGGACCUGGAAACUCUUUAGUAUCAGAAACCCAAGGCCCCCCUCAUACCAGCGUUCCGACUUUGAAUUUCCUUAA